CGUGUGCUUACAAGUAGUCAGAGCCCGUUAAUGGGUGAUGGCGUGCCUUUUGUAGAAUGAACCGGCGAGUUACGAUUUGAUGCAAGGUUAAGCAGUAAAUGUGGAGCCGUAGCGAAAGCGAGUCUGAAUAGGGCGUUUAGUAUUUGGUCGUAGACCCGAAACCAGGUGAUCUACCCUUGGUCAGGUUGAAGUUCAGGUAACACUGAAUGGAGGACCGAACCGACUUACGUUGAAAAGUGAGCGGAUGAACUGAGGGUAGCGGAGAAAUUCCAAUCGAACCUGGAGAUAGCUGGUUCUCUCCGAAAUAGCUUUAGGGCUAGCCUCAAGUGAUGAUUAUUGGAGGUAGAGCACUGUUUGGACGAGGGGCCCCUCUCGGGUUACCGAAUUCAGACAAACUCCGAAUGCCAAUUAAUUUAACUUGGGAGUCAGAACAUGGGUGAUAAGGUCCGUGUUCGAAAGGGAAACAGCCCAGACCACCAGCUAAGGUCCCAAAAUAUAUGUUAAGUGGAAAAGGAUGUGGCGUUGCCCAGACAACUAGGAUGUUGGCUUAGAAGCAGCCAUCAUUUAAAGAGUGCGUAAUAGCUCACUAGUCGAGUGACACUGCGCCGAAAAUGUACCGGGGCUAAACAUAUUACCGAAGCUGUGGAUUGUCCUUUGGACAAUGGUAGGAGAGCGUUCUAAGGGCGUUGAAGCAUGAUCGUAAGGACAUGUGGAGCGCUUAGAAGUGAGAAUGCCGGUGUGAGUAGCGAAAGACGGGUGAGAAUCCCGUCCACCGAUUGACUAAGGUUUCCAGAGGAAGGCUCGUCCGCUCUGGGUUAGUCGGGUCCUAAGCUGAGGCCGACAGGCGUAGGCGAUGGAUAACAGGUUGAUAUUCCUGUACCACCUAUAAUCGUUUUAAUCGAUGGGGGGACGCAGUAGGAUAGGCGAAGCGUGCGAUUGGAUUGCACGUCUAAGCAGUAAGGCUGAGUAUUAGGCAAAUCCGGUACUCGUUAAGGCUGAGCUGUGAUGGGGA
RNAcentral lists this ribosomal RNA (1012 nucleotides) under Staphylococcus aureus. RNAcentral describes it as "partial 23S ribosomal RNA". It matches the Rfam family "Bacterial large subunit ribosomal RNA", at positions 557 to 1572 of the family's 2925-position model. Lineage: Bacteria; Bacillati; Bacillota; Bacilli; Caryophanales; Staphylococcaceae. The record is from RNAcentral.